UACGUAGGGGGCGAGCGUUGUCCGGAAUUACUGGGCGUAAAGCGCGCGUAGGCGGCACGGUACGACACCUGUGAAAGCCCCCGGCUCAACUGGGGAGGGUCAGGUGUAACGGCCGAGCUAAGAGUGCAGGAGAGGGAAGUGGAACUCCGGGAGUAGCGGUGAAAUGUGUAGAGACCCGGAGGAACACCAGUGGCGAAGGCGGCUUCCUGGUCUGCGACUGACGCUGAAGCGCGAAAGCUAGGGGAGCAAACGG
This 253-nucleotide ribosomal RNA is filed under the name uncultured bacterium. Its description in RNAcentral is "partial 16S ribosomal RNA". It matches the Rfam family "Bacterial small subunit ribosomal RNA", at positions 524 to 775 of the family's 1533-position model. The record is from RNAcentral.